This 102-nucleotide Y RNA is filed under the name Propithecus coquereli (Coquerel's sifaka). Its description in RNAcentral is "Y RNA (ENSPCOG00000006547.1)". It matches the Rfam family "Y RNA". Rfam says of the family: Y RNAs are components of the Ro ribonucleoprotein particle (Ro RNP), in association with Ro60 and La proteins. The Y RNAs and Ro60 and La proteins are well conserved, but the function of the Ro RNP is not known. Lineage: Eukaryota; Metazoa; Chordata; Mammalia; Primates; Indriidae. The record is from Rfam by way of RNAcentral.
GGCUGGCCCGAGUGCAGUGGUGUUUAGAACUAAUUGAUCACAACCAGUUACAGAUUCCUUUGUUCUUUGUCCACUAUCACUGCUUCACUUGAUUACGCUAAA